GAAAAAUAACGAUACGGGACUCAUCCGAGGCCCCGUAAUCGGAAUGAGUACACUUUAAAUCCUUUAACAAGUAUCCAUUGGAGGGUAAGUCUGGUGCCAGCAGCCGCGGUAAUUCCAGCUCCAAUAGCGUAUAUUAAAGUUGUUGCGGUUAAAAAGCUCGUAGUUGGACUUGUGUCCCACGCUGUCGGUUCACCGCCCGUCGGUGUCUAACUGACAUGUAUCGUGGGACGUCCUGCCGGUGGUGGCGAGUCGAAAGAUCGCGCCCCCGUGGUUCUGCCAUGGGUAGGUUGCGGUUCGUAGACGGACCCCGAUGAAAUCCUACCGCGGUGCUCUUAAACGAGUGUCGAGGUGGGCCGGCACGUUUACUUUGAACAAAUUAGAGUGCUUAAAGCAGGCCUGAUGCGCCUGAAUACAGUGUGCAUGGAAUAAUGGAAUAGGACCUCGGUUCUAUUUUGUUGGUUUUCGGAACCCGAGGUAAUGAUUAAUAGGGACAGUCGGGGGCAUUCGUAUUGCGACGUUAGAGGUGAAAUUCUUGGAUCGUCGCAAGACGGACCGAAGCGAAAGCAUUUGCCAAGUAUGUUUUCAUUAAUCAAGAACGAAAGUUAGAGGUUCGAAGGCGAUCAGAUACCGCCCUAGUUCUAACCAUAAACGAUGCCAGCUAGCGAUCCGCCGAAGUUCCUCCGAUGACUCGGCGGGCAGCUCCCGGGAAACCAAAGCUUUUGGGUUCCGGGGGAAGUAUGGUUGCAAAGCUGAAACUUAAAGGAAUUGACGGAAGGGCACCACCAGGAGUGGAGCCUGCGGCUUAAUUUGACUCAACACGGGAAACCUCACCAGGCCCGGACACUGGAAGGAUUGACAGAUUGAGAGCUCUUUCUUGAUUCAGUGGGUGGUGGUGCAUGGCCGUUCUUAGUUGGUGGAGCGAUUUGUCUGGUUAAUUCCGAUAACGAACGAGACUCUAGCCUGCUAAAUAGUCGCAUCCGGUAU
This 984-nucleotide ribosomal RNA is filed under the name Hemiandrus sp. 'timaru'. Its description in RNAcentral is "SSU rRNA". It matches the Rfam family "Eukaryotic small subunit ribosomal RNA", at positions 472 to 1371 of the family's 1831-position model. The record is from RNAcentral. Lineage: Eukaryota; Metazoa; Arthropoda; Insecta; Orthoptera; Anostostomatidae.